This 329-nucleotide ribosomal RNA is filed under the name uncultured soil bacterium. Its description in RNAcentral is "bacterial SSU rRNA". It matches the Rfam family "Bacterial small subunit ribosomal RNA", at positions 26 to 371 of the family's 1533-position model. The record is from RNAcentral.
AGGACAAACGCUGGCGGAAUGUAUUAGGCAUGCAAGUCGCACGAGCCUUCGGGCUAGUGGCGGACGGGUGAGUAACACGUGGGUAACCUGCCUCGUAGUGGGGAAUAACUCGCCGAAAGGCGAGCUAAUACCGCAUAACACCCCCGGUGAGAAUCCGGGUGGUAAAAGCUCUGGCGCUACGAGAGGGGCCCGCGGCCGAUUAGCUUGUUGGUGGGGUAAUGGCCUACCAAGGCGACGAUCGGUAGCUGGUCUGAGAGGAUGAUCAGCCACACUGGAACUGAGACACGGUCCAGACUCCUACGGGAGCAGCAGUGGGGAAUAUUGGACAA